Molecule: ribosomal RNA, 430 nt
Filed under: uncultured bacterium
Lineage: Bacteria
Description: bacterial SSU rRNA
Rfam family: Bacterial small subunit ribosomal RNA
Source: RNAcentral
AGCUCCGGCUAACUCCGUGCCAGCAGCCGCGGUAAUACGGAGGGAGCUAGCGUUGUUCGGAAUCACUGGGCGUAAAGGGCGCGUAGGCGGUCGGGUAAGUCGGGUGUGAAAUUCCGGGGCUCAACCCCGCGAACUGCAUCCGAUACUGCUCGACUAGAGAGAGGUAGGGGCGAGUAGAAUUCCCGGUGUAGCGGUGGAAUGCGUAGAUAUCGGGAAGAACACCGGUGGCGAAGGCGGCUCGCUGGGCCUUAUCUGACGCUGAAGCGCGAAAGCGUGGGGAGCAAACAGGAUUAGAUACCCUGGUAGUCCACGCCGUAAACGAUGGGUACUAGGUGUUGGGAGGAUUGACCCUCUCAGUGCCGACGCUAACGCAUUAAGUACCCCGCCUGGGGAGUACGGCCGCAAGGCUGAAACUCAAAGGAAUUGACGG